This 253-nucleotide ribosomal RNA is filed under the name uncultured bacterium. Its description in RNAcentral is "partial 16S ribosomal RNA". It matches the Rfam family "Bacterial small subunit ribosomal RNA", at positions 524 to 776 of the family's 1533-position model. The record is from RNAcentral.
UACGGGGGGGGCAAGCGUUGUUCGGAAUUACUGGGCGUAAAGGGUUCGUAGGUGGCCAACUAAGUCAGACGUGAAAUCCCUCAGCUCAACUGGGGAACUGCGUCUGAUACUGGUCGGCUUGAGUGCAGGAGAGGAACGCGGAAUUCCAGGUGUAGCGGUGAAAUGCGUAGAUAUCUGGAGGAACACCGGUGGCGAAGGCGGCGUUCUGGACUGCAACUGACACUGAGGAACGAAAGCCAGGGGAGCAAACGGG